CUACCUCUUGAAUCCAGUCCCCUCCCCACAGGCGGGGACCUACAGAUGCUACGGUGCCUUCCUCAACAACCCCUACCUGUGGUCUCAGCCCAGUGACCCAGUGCAGCUUCAGGUUGAAGGAACUACUGACUCUCCCAGCAGCACACAGCCCAGACAUUCAACUGCCCCGUCUGGCAACCGAGCCUCCCAAGACAGACGCCUAGGCAUCUGGAUCGGUGUCCCGGUGGCCGUGGGUCUCCUGCUCCUAGUCUUCCUCGUCUUCUUCAUCCUCUACUGUCUGCGCAAAGCCAAAAACAAUGCUGAGAGGAAAGAGAGACACCCAGAGGCAGCUGGCUGGGUGAAUGGACAGGUGAGGGCUUCCUCCCCUAGACUGUCCCUUGGACGCCUCCUGUCACAACCCCAUCUCAUAUUCUCCCUUCCUUCCUCAGGCCUCUGAAGCUGCAGACCCGCAGGACGUCACCUAUUCCCAGGUGACCUGCCAUGUCCCCCACCAGGGGACAGCUGGGACCCCUUCCUGGGUGCCCAGACAGACCCAGAGCAGCGAGUAUGUGACGCUGGCCUUCAAAUAAGCCAGGCACCAGGGCCAGCACUUCAUCUGGGCAGCAGAACUCACAGUUACCUCUGGUAGCUCCCUCCUCUAGAACUGAGGCUCCAAACCUAACAGUCAGCCUGGUUGAGGGAGCCCACAUUCCUCAGAAGGUCCUGAUGCCCCCACACACACACACCCGGAAAUCUAGAGACCUCAGCAACAUCAGCCAGUCAGUCCCAGAAUCUCUAGUUGCCCAGGAGUUCCUGAGACCCUCUGAAGUCACCAGAAGAGUGACAGGGUAAUGUUUUGUAAGUCUUCAUUAUUCAUUAAUUAAAUGUUGUUGUUCAGUCU
This 880-nucleotide long non-coding RNA is filed under the name Bos mutus (wild yak). Its description in RNAcentral is "lncRNA (ENSBMUG00000019105.1)". The record is from RNAcentral. Lineage: Eukaryota; Metazoa; Chordata; Mammalia; Artiodactyla; Bovidae.